RNAcentral lists this ribosomal RNA (365 nucleotides) under Chorilia longipes. RNAcentral describes it as "partial small subunit ribosomal RNA". The record is from RNAcentral. Lineage: Eukaryota; Metazoa; Arthropoda; Malacostraca; Decapoda; Pisidae.
UAUUAUACUAAAAUUUAAUAAAAACUAAAAUAUUAUAAGAUAUAGUCUUUAAAUUUAAAGAAUUUGGCGGUAAUUUAGUCUUUCCAGAGGAACCUGUUCUGUAAUCGAUAAACCACGAAGAAUCUUACUUAUUCUCUUAAGAUUAAAAGUUUGUAUACCGUCAUUAUUAGAUAAUAUUUAGAGAUAGAUUUAUUAUUAAAAUUAAAUAUUUAAGUAAAUUAGAUCAAGGUGCAGCUUAUGAAUAAGUUUAGAAUGGGUUACAAUUAAGUUAUAUAAAAAUGAAAUAAAAUUUGAAAAAAUUUUAGGAAGGAGGAUUUGGUUGUAAUAGGAAUUAAUAAGAUAAAAAGAUAUAAGCUCUAAAUUAU